GAUGAACGCUGGCGGCGUGCCUAAUACAUGCAAGUCGAGCGAACAGACGAGGAGCUUGCUCCUCUGACGUUAGCGGCGCACGGGUGAGUAACACGUGGAUAACCUACCUAUAAGACUGGGAUAUCUUCGGAAAACCGGCGCUAAUACCGGAUAAUAUAUUGAACCGCGUGGUGCAAUAGUGAAAGUCGGCUUUGCUGUCACUUAUCGCUGGAUCCCGGCCGCAUUAGCUGGUUGUUAAGGUAACGGCUUUCCAAGGCAACGAUGCGUAGCCGACCGGUGAGAGGGAUAGCCCGCAUGGGAGCGUGGACGCGGACAAGGGUCCUGAGGGACGGCGCAGUAGGGAAUCGUCCGCAACGGGCGAAAGCUUGACGGAACAACGCGACGCGAGUGAUGACAGUCUUCGGAUCGUAAAACCCUGUUAUGAGUGAUGAACAGAUGUGGAAGUAACUAUGCACGUCGUGACGGUACCUAAUCAGAAAGCCACGGCUAACUACGUG
This 497-nucleotide ribosomal RNA is filed under the name uncultured bacterium. Its description in RNAcentral is "partial 16S ribosomal RNA". It matches the Rfam family "Bacterial small subunit ribosomal RNA", at positions 28 to 507 of the family's 1533-position model. The record is from RNAcentral.